This 513-nucleotide ribosomal RNA is filed under the name Melanargia halimede. Its description in RNAcentral is "partial 16S ribosomal RNA". The stretch from base 386 to 513 matches the Rfam family "Bacterial large subunit ribosomal RNA", at positions 2473 to 2600 of the family's 2925-position model. The record is from RNAcentral. Lineage: Eukaryota; Metazoa; Arthropoda; Insecta; Lepidoptera; Nymphalidae.
GUCUUUUUGAAAUAAUUUAAAGUCUAAUCUGCCCACUGAUAAAAAUUAAAGGGCUGCAGUAUAAUGACUGUACAAAGGUAGCAUAAUCAAUAGUUUUUUAAUUGGAAACUUGUAUGAAAGAUUUGAUGAAAUAUAAACUGUCUCUAUUUUAUAAAUUGAAUUUUAUUUUUUAGUAAAAAAGCUAAAAUAAAUUUAAAAGACGAGAAGACCCUAUAGAGUUUUAUAUUUAAUUUUAUUUGAAAAUUAUAUAAAAAUUAUUAUUUAAAUAAAAUUAAUUAUUAUGUUGGGGUGACAGAAAAAUUAAAUUAACUUUUUUUAAAAAUUAAACAUAAAUAAGUGAUUAUAUGAUCCAUAAAUAAUGAUUAUAAGAAAAAAUUACCUUAGGGAUAACAGCGUAAUAUUUUUUUUUAGCUCAAAUAAAAAAGAAAGUUUGCGACCUCGAUGUUGGAUUAAGAUAAAAUUUAAAUGCAAAAGUUUAAAAUUUUUGAUCUGUUCGAUCAUUAAAAUCUUACA